Molecule: ribosomal RNA, 465 nt
Filed under: uncultured bacterium
Lineage: Bacteria
Description: partial 16S ribosomal RNA
Rfam family: Bacterial small subunit ribosomal RNA
Source: RNAcentral
GACGAACGCUGGCGGUAUGCUUAACACGUGCAAGUCGAACGGAAAGGCCCCCUUGUGGGGUACUCGAGUGGCGAACGGGUGAGUAACACGUGAGUAACCUACCCUUGACUUUGGGAUAACUUCAGGAAACUGGGGCUAAUACCGGAUAGGAGCUCCUGCUGCAUGGUGGGGGUUGGAAAGUUUCGGCGGUUGGGGAUGGACUCGCGGCUUAUCAGCUUGUUGGUGGGGUAGUGGCUCACCAAGGCUUUGACGGGUAGCCGGCCUGAGAGGGUGACCGGCCACAUUGGGACUGAGAUACGGCCCAGACUCCUACGGGAGGCAGCAGUGGGGAAUAUUGCACAAUGGGCGGAAGCCUGAUGCAGCAACGCCGCGUGCGGGAUGACGGCCUUCGGGUUGUAAACCGCUUUCGCCUGUGACGAAGCGUGAGUGACGGUAAUGGGUAAAGAAGCACCGGCUAACUACGUG